This is a long non-coding RNA of Dreissena polymorpha, 513 nucleotides long. RefSeq lists it as uncharacterized. The record is from RefSeq and is a predicted model, not a curated record. NCBI's taxonomy places the organism in Eukaryota, Metazoa, Mollusca, Bivalvia, Myida, Dreissenidae. The transcript is spliced from 3 exons.
GUUCGUAUGUACAUGUUUGAUUCACUAAAACAAGUCAUCGACAACGCGGAAACAAACUUGCAAGAUCAUCUGUUCAGUGAAAAAAAUUAGUUUCCACACUCCAUUGUUUUUUAGAACAACCUGAAACUGUAAAUUGAUUCACGGAAGUGUUUGUGGAACAGGUAUUGUCCGUGCACCAAUUUCAAUAGCUGCUCUCCAAGCAGAUUCUCAUUUGCAGCGGGGAUUUGCAGCAGAAUAAUCAAAAAGCUUGGUAGAAAUCAUGGGCUUGGUGACGAUUCUGUCCCUAGUUAUGUUUGCCUGUAUGUGCAUGAGUGAACAUAGAAUCAUGGCGGAUAUGGGACCAUACAAGGAGGAAACGGAUGAAUAUUACGCUUACUCAACGGCCGACAAUGCCGUAAGUGACGUCACUGAUGAUGAUUACGAAGUCAUCGACUACGAUGACGGCAAGGACGAUUCGGAAGGCAAGCCGAUUUGUCGUAAGGGGCAGUGCCGGUUGUGUCACGUAUUCAACCG